RNAcentral lists this ribosomal RNA (253 nucleotides) under uncultured prokaryote. RNAcentral describes it as "partial 16S ribosomal RNA". It matches the Rfam family "Bacterial small subunit ribosomal RNA", at positions 525 to 777 of the family's 1533-position model. The record is from RNAcentral.
ACGGAGGGUGCAAGCGUUAUCCGGAUUCACUGGGUUUAAAGGGUGCGUAGGUGGGCAGGUAAGUCAGUGGUGAAAUCUCCGGGCUUAACCCGGAAACUGCCGUUGAUACUAUUUGUCUUGAAUAUUGUGGAGGUAAGCGGAAUAUGUCAUGUAGCGGUGAAAUGCUUAGAUAUGACACAGAACACCGAUUGCGAAGGCAGCUGACAAAACUGUAACUGACGCUGAGGCACGAAAGCGUGGGUAUCAAACAGGA